Pyrenochaeta sp. MPI-SDFR-AT-0127 is the source of this 88-nucleotide non-coding RNA. The record is from the annotation of a GenBank genome assembly. NCBI's taxonomy places the organism in Eukaryota, Fungi, Ascomycota, Dothideomycetes, Pleosporales, Cucurbitariaceae.
GGCCUAAUGGCCCAAUGGCAAGGCGCUUGACUACGAUUCCAAUGUAAUCAAGAGAUUCCAGGUUGUAAGUUUGACCCUUGCUUUCCCA